Long non-coding RNA from Varroa destructor (honeybee mite), 516 nucleotides. NCBI's taxonomy places the organism in Eukaryota, Metazoa, Arthropoda, Arachnida, Mesostigmata, Varroidae. The record is from RefSeq and is a predicted model, not a curated record.
UUAAGAGUGCAGUCUGCGGAUGUCAUGACCAUCCGACCAUUUGCAUACGCUCAAUCAGAAGUUAGUGUUGCUAGUGCGUAGAGCACUGAUAUAAAAUUGUAUUAUGCAGGAUACAUGUCUAGCAUUUUACAUGAAAGAGAUGGGGAAAAUAUCUUAGAGUUAGAGGGAUCGACAGAUGGUGCAGCUCUGUUAGAUUGCUAGCGAUUAGUUGUAUAUUUAUCCGACAUUCGUGCCGUUGGACGGUCAAAAGUUGACCAUAAAGAGACCUACGAAAAGCACGGACUAAUAGCCGAAAACUGUGUGACCGGCCUUAAGUAAACUGCCCACCGGCGAAUCUUCUAUCGAGUUUUUUCGACGAUUUUGGCCGCCACAAUGUUCGUUGAAUUUGGCUGAGCAUCUUGCAAGCCCUGCUAUAGUCGGCUUGCUAGCGUGUCACACGUUCCGCCAAAGAACUCGAUGCACUAUAAAUUGGUUCGGUCAAACCAUCACAUUUUUAGCACUCGAGCAGCAUCGAAC